RNAcentral lists this ribosomal RNA (804 nucleotides) under Salmonella enterica. Its description in RNAcentral is "partial 23S ribosomal RNA". It matches the Rfam family "Bacterial large subunit ribosomal RNA", at positions 2060 to 2858 of the family's 2925-position model. Lineage: Bacteria; Pseudomonadati; Pseudomonadota; Gammaproteobacteria; Enterobacterales; Enterobacteriaceae. The record is from RNAcentral.
UGCAGUGUACCCGCGGCAAGACGGAAAGACCCCGUGAACCUUUACUAUAGCUUGACACUGAACAUUGAGCCUUGAUGUGUAGGAUAGGUGGGAGGCUUUGAAGUGUGGACGCCAGUCUGCAUGGAGCCGACCUUGAAAUACCACCCUUUAAUGUUUGAUGUUCUAACGUGGACCCGUGAUCCGGGUUGCGGACAGUGUCUGGUGGGUAGUUUGACUGGGGCGGUCUCCUCCUAAAGAGUAACGGAGGAGCACGAAGGUUGGCUAAUCCUGGUCGGACAUCAGGAGGUUAGUGCAAUGGCAUAAGCCAGCUUGACUGCGAGCGUGACGGCGCGAGCAGGUGCGAAAGCAGGUCAUAGUGAUCCGGUGGUUCUGAAUGGAAGGGCCAUCGCUCAACGGAUAAAAGGUACUCCGGGGAUAACAGGCUGAUACCGCCCAAGAGUUCAUAUCGACGGCGGUGUUUGGCACCUCGAUGUCGGCUCAUCACAUCCUGGGGCUGAAGUAGGUCCCAAGGGUAUGGCUGUUCGCCAUUUAAAGUGGUACGCGAGCUGGGUUUAGAACGUCGUGAGACAGUUCGGUCCCUAUCUGCCGUGGGCGCUGGAGAACUGAGGGGGGCUGCUCCUAGUACGAGAGGACCGGAGUGGACGCAUCACUGGUGUUCGGGUUGUCAUGCCAAUGGCACUGCCCGGUAGCUAAAUGCGGAAGAGAUAAGUGCUGAAAGCAUCUAAGCACGAAACUUGCCCCGAGAUGAGUUCUCCCUGAGACUUUAGGUCUCCUGAAGGAACGUUGAAGACGACAACGUUGAUA